GUCCAGGCUAGCCUAGUGAAUAUGGCGUCUGCACGGUAAGCGGAACACUGUGGGUUCGAUUCCCAUCCCUGGACA
RNAcentral lists this transfer RNA (75 nucleotides) under Cordylochernes scorpioides. Its description in RNAcentral is "tRNA-Thr". It matches the Rfam family "tRNA". Rfam says of the family: Transfer RNA (tRNA) molecules are approximately 80 nucleotides in length. Their secondary structure includes four short double-helical elements and three loops (D, anti-codon, and T loops). Further hydrogen bonds mediate the characteristic L-shaped molecular structure. tRNAs have two regions of fundamental functional importance: the anti-codon, which is responsible for specific mRNA codon recognition, and the 3' end, to which the tRNAs corresponding amino acid is attached (by aminoacyl-tRNA synthetases). tRNAs cope with the degeneracy of the genetic code in two manners: having more than one tRNA (with a specific anti-codon) for a particular amino acid; and 'wobble' base-pairing, i.e. permitting non-standard base-pairing at the 3rd anti-codon position. The record is from RNAcentral. Lineage: Eukaryota; Metazoa; Arthropoda; Arachnida; Pseudoscorpiones; Chernetidae.